This 240-nucleotide unclassified non-coding RNA is filed under the name Glomeraceae sp. RNAcentral's name for it is "partial contains 5.8S ribosomal RNA and internal transcribed spacer 2". The stretch from base 1 to 71 matches the Rfam family "5.8S ribosomal RNA", at positions 84 to 154 of the family's 154-position model. Lineage: Eukaryota; Fungi; Glomeromycota; Glomeromycetes; Glomerales; Glomeraceae. The record is from RNAcentral.
GUGAAUCAUCAAAUCUUUGAACGCACAUUGCAUUCUCUGGUAUUCCGGGGAGUAUGCCUGUUUGAGGGUCGUUUGAACACAAAUCGACGCGUCGCUCUUUUUUUACGGUUGCUCGCGUCGGGCUUGAGCCGUCUUCCAAAUGAUAAUUACUGGCCAUGUGGCUUGACAUUCAUCCAUCCUGUACGAUUAAAGCGUACUUAAGAUCAACUUUGAUUCAGAAAGCCCGGUGAACGUCCCACC